AAAAUUCGCAAUAGACCAAAUCAAAAAUUUUUUUUAAAUUUCGUGUUCCCUUUCGGCCAUUGCAAGCUCCAAUCAAAAUAACUGGGCAGGUAAACAAUAAACAGGGCAAAUAUAGCUAAGCAGAAGACAAAGAGACAGUGCGAAAGAAAGAAAGACAAGAGAAACUCAAGUGAACAAUAAUAG
Drosophila arizonae is the source of this 183-nucleotide long non-coding RNA. NCBI's taxonomy places the organism in Eukaryota, Metazoa, Arthropoda, Insecta, Diptera, Drosophilidae. The record is from RefSeq and is a predicted model, not a curated record.